This is a long non-coding RNA of Gadus macrocephalus (Pacific cod), 883 nucleotides long. RefSeq lists it as uncharacterized. Lineage: Eukaryota; Metazoa; Chordata; Actinopteri; Gadiformes; Gadidae. The transcript is spliced from 2 exons. The record is from RefSeq and is a predicted model, not a curated record.
UUAAUUUCAGUACGCAAUGUAUUCUACCCUCAAAAGCAAUAUGAUUUCAGUGAGGUGAGUUCUUUCAAAUCUCAAUCAGAUGUGUAGCAUGAAAUAUAAGGCUUUUAAUAAUUUAGUCAUCCUUACUGGAGGCUACAAUUAACAUGCAUCAUAGGUCAUACACAUUACUUUGUCUUCAGGUACUGCACUUACGGGAGGAGAUGGCUACAUCUUCACAAUAAUUUACACUACCAUAGUACACUGCUAAACAGUACUGUAACAUGGAUUUGUAUUAGGCUAUGAAGUCAUUUAAAGCAUAACUUUACUUUUCAGGGGGACAUGCUCUCUAUAAGGAGGUGGUGGUUGGACAGCUGUUGGAGACCUUUAUACUUAAAAGGUUUAUAUACUGUGUCCAUGUUGCUAUUUACUUAUUUUUGGUGCUCACGAAGAUCGUAGCCAAUACACUUGUCUCUCUGUCUCUAGCCCUGCAGAACUAGCUGGCUCCUUCUCACCCUCUCCAUCUCCCCAUCUCAGUCACACCUUCCAAUCACUAAGCAGUGAAAGCCCUGCAGGACUAGCUGGCACACCAAGCUCACCCUCUGCAUCUCCCCAUCUCAGCCACACGCUCCAAUCUGGCACAACAGAGGACAGGCCAUUCUUACCACCCGAAGUCCUUCAGCAAAUUGUACAAGAGACGCUGAGACUGGACAUGGCGAUGCUUGGCGUGUUCAACAGGGUUUCAAACACAUUCCGAGAACUAAUCAAGCCUCUCCAUCCUUCCAUAUAUAUAAAUGACAGUUUGGCAGGGGACAUUAAGCUUAAUAAAGACAAUCUCAUAUACAUAACGGUUAGAAAGAUUUACAACAAUGCAGGCUGUGGCAGUGGCCUUGCGCUACGCCUCAAA